RNAcentral lists this ribosomal RNA (253 nucleotides) under uncultured bacterium. RNAcentral describes it as "partial 16S ribosomal RNA". It matches the Rfam family "Bacterial small subunit ribosomal RNA", at positions 524 to 776 of the family's 1533-position model. The record is from RNAcentral.
GACGUAGGGCGCGAGCGUUGUCCGGAUUUAUUGGGCGUAAAGAGCUCGUAGGCGGCUCAUUGCGUCAACCGUGAAAACUUGUGGCUCAACUACAAGCUUGCGGUUGAUACGGGUGGGCUGGAGUUCGGUAGGGGAGACUGGAAUUCCUGGUGUAGCGGUGAAAUGCGCAGAUAUCAGGAGGAACACCGGUGGCGAAGGCGGGUCUCUGGGCCGAUACUGACGCUGAGGCGCGAAAGCGUGGGGAGCAAACAGG